RNAcentral lists this ribosomal RNA (559 nucleotides) under Haemodracon riebeckii. RNAcentral describes it as "partial 16S ribosomal RNA". It matches the Rfam family "Bacterial large subunit ribosomal RNA", at positions 1817 to 2597 of the family's 2925-position model. The record is from RNAcentral. Lineage: Eukaryota; Metazoa; Chordata; Lepidosauria; Squamata; Phyllodactylidae.
GGCCUCUAGCCUGUCCAAGUAUUAGAGGUCCCGCCUGCCCAGUGAAUAUCUUUCAACGGCCGCGGUAUCCUAACCGUGCGAAGGUAGCAUAAUCCUUUGUUCCUUAAAUGCGGACUAGUAUGAACGGCUAACUGAGGGCAUAACUGUCUCCUAUGGCCAACCAAUGAAACUGAUCCCCCAGUACAAAAGCUGGGAUAACCCCAUAAGACGAGAAGACCCUACGGAGCUUUAAACCACCCCACUACAUCACCAAACACUGCCCCACCGGAGUAGCCCCACAACACCCUAAUAGUGGCCGUUUUAAGUUGGGGCGACUGUAGCACAUAAAAAAACUCUUACGACACAGGACUAACCCCCCCAUUCGAGGCCAACAAGCCAAAAAUACCACGCUAAUUGACCCAGUACCACUGAUCAACGAACCAAGUUACCCUAGGGAUAACAGCGCCAUCCUCUUUAAGAGCCCAUAUCGCCAAGAGGGUUUACGACCUCGAUGUUGGAUCAGGACACCCCGGUGGCGCAGCCGCUGCCAAAGGUUCGUUUGUUCAACGACUAAUGUCCU